GAUGAACGCUGGCGGCGUGCCUAAUACAUGCAAGUCGAGCGAACAGACGAGGAGCUUGCUCCUUCGACGUUAGCGGCGGACGGGUGAGUAACACGUAGGUAACCUACCUAUAAGACUGGGAUAACUUCGGGAAACCGGAGCUAAUACCGGAUAAUAUUUCGAACCGCAUGGUUCGAUAGUGAAAGAUGGCUUUGCUAUCACUUAUAGAUGGACCUGCGCCGUAUUAGCUAGUUGGUAAGGUAACGGCUUACCAAGGCAACGAUACGUAGCCGACCUGAGAGGGGGGAUGGCCACAACGGGAAGGGAGCCCGGUCCCAGCCCCCGAGGGGAGGAGACAUGGGGAAUUUUCCCGGAAGGGGGAAAGCCCGGACGGAGAAAGGCGCCGGGAUGAAUAAGGUUUUUCGAAUCUAAAACCUUUUUUAUGAGGGAAAAAAAAACGUGUAAGUAACUGUGCACGUCUGGAGGUUACCUAAUAAGAGGCCCACGGCUAACUACGGG
RNAcentral lists this ribosomal RNA (498 nucleotides) under uncultured bacterium. Its description in RNAcentral is "partial 16S ribosomal RNA". It matches the Rfam family "Bacterial small subunit ribosomal RNA", at positions 28 to 507 of the family's 1533-position model. The record is from RNAcentral.